Molecule: ribosomal RNA, 2775 nt
Filed under: Escherichia coli O25:H16
Lineage: Bacteria; Pseudomonadati; Pseudomonadota; Gammaproteobacteria; Enterobacterales; Enterobacteriaceae
Description: bacterial LSU rRNA
Rfam family: Bacterial large subunit ribosomal RNA
Source: RNAcentral
AGCGUACACGGUGGAUGCCCUGGCAGUCAGAGGCGAUGAAGGACGUGCUAAUCUGCGAUAAGCGUCGGUAAGGUGAUAUGAACCGUUAUAACCGGCGAUUUCCGAAUGGGGAAACCCAGUGUGUUUCGACACACUAUCAUUAACUGAAUCCAUAGGUUAAUGAGGCGAACCGGGGGAACUGAAACAUCUAAGUACCCCGAGGAAAAGAAAUCAACCGAGAUUCCCCCAGUAGCGGCGAGCGAACGGGGAGCAGCCCAGAGCCUGAAUCAGUGUGUGUGUUAGUGGAAGCGUCUGGAAAGGCGCGCGAUACAGGGUGACAGCCCCGUACACAAAAAUGCACAUGCUGUGAGCUCGAUGAGUAGGGCGGGACACGUGGUAUCCUGUCUGAAUAUGGGGGGACCAUCCUCCAAGGCUAAAUACUCCUGACUGACCGAUAGUGAACCAGUACCGUGAGGGAAAGGCGAAAAGAACCCCGGCGAGGGGAGUGAAAAAGAACCUGAAACCGUGUACGUACAAGCAGUGGGAGCACGCUUAGGCGUGUGACUGCGUACCUUUUGUAUAAUGGGUCAGCGACUUAUAUUCUGUAGCAAGGUUAACCGAAUAGGGGAGCCGAAGGGAAACCGAGUCUUAACUGGGCGUUAAGUUGCAGGGUAUAGACCCGAAACCCGGUGAUCUAGCCAUGGGCAGGUUGAAGGUUGGGUAACACUAACUGGAGGACCGAACCGACUAAUGUUGAAAAAUUAGCGGAUGACUUGUGGCUGGGGGUGAAAGGCCAAUCAAACCGGGAGAUAGCUGGUUCUCCCCGAAAGCUAUUUAGGUAGCGCCUCGUGAAUUCAUCUCCGGGGGUAGAGCACUGUUUCGGCAAGGGGGUCAUCCCGACUUACCAACCCGAUGCAAACUGCGAAUACCGGAGAAUGUUAUCACGGGAGACACACGGCGGGUGCUAACGUCCGUCGUGAAGAGGGAAACAACCCAGACCGCCAGCUAAGGUCCCAAAGUCAUGGUUAAGUGGGAAACGAUGUGGGAAGGCCCAGACAGCCAGGAUGUUGGCUUAGAAGCAGCCAUCAUUUAAAGAAAGCGUAAUAGCUCACUGGUCGAGUCGGCCUGCGCGGAAGAUGUAACGGGGCUAAACCAUGCACCGAAGCUGCGGCAGCGACGCUUAUGCGUUGUUGGGUAGGGGAGCGUUCUGUAAGCCUGUGAAGGUGUGCUGUGAGGCAUGCUGGAGGUAUCAGAAGUGCGAAUGCUGACAUAAGUAACGAUAAAGCGGGUGAAAAGCCCGCUCGCCGGAAGACCAAGGGUUCCUGUCCAACGUUAAUCGGGGCAGGGUGAGUCGACCCCUAAGGCGAGGCCGAAAGGCGUAGUCGAUGGGAAACAGGUUAAUAUUCCUGUACUUGGUGUUACUGCGAAGGGGGGACGGAGAAGGCUAUGUUGGCCGGGCGACGGUUGUCCCGGUUUAAGCGUGUAGGCUGGUUUUCCAGGCAAAUCCGGAAAAUCAAGGCUGAGGCGUGAUGACGAGGCACUACGGUGCUGAAGCAACAAAUGCCCUGCUUCCAGGAAAAGCCUCUAAGCAUCAGGUAACAUCAAAUCGUACCCCAAACCGACACAGGUGGUCAGGUAGAGAAUACCAAGGCGCUUGAGAGAACUCGGGUGAAGGAACUAGGCAAAAUGGUGCCGUAACUUCGGGAGAAGGCACGCUGAUAUGUAGGUGAAGUCCCUCGCGGAUGGAGCUGAAAUCAGUCGAAGAUACCAGCUGGCUGCAACUGUUUAUUAAAAACACAGCACUGUGCAAACACGAAAGUGGACGUAUACGGUGUGACGCCUGCCCGGUGCCGGAAGGUUAAUUGAUGGGGUUAGCCGCAAGGCGAAGCUCUUGAUCGAAGCCCCGGUAAACGGCGGCCGUAACUAUAACGGUCCUAAGGUAGCGAAAUUCCUUGUCGGGUAAGUUCCGACCUGCACGAAUGGCGUAAUGAUGGCCAGGCUGUCUCCACCCGAGACUCAGUGAAAUUGAACUCGCUGUGAAGAUGCAGUGUACCCGCGGCAAGACGGAAAGACCCCGUGAACCUUUACUAUAGCUUGACACUGAACAUUGAGCCUUGAUGUGUAGGAUAGGUGGGAGGCUUGGAAGUGUGGACGCCAGUCUGCAUGGAGCCGACCUUGAAAUACCACCCUUUAAUGUUUGAUGUUCUAACGUUGACCCGUAAUCCGGGUUGCGGACAGUGUCUGGUGGGUAGUUUGACUGGGGCGGUCUCCUCCUAAAGAGUAACGGAGGAGCACGAAGGUUGGCUAAUCCUGGUCGGACAUCAGGAGGUUAGUGCAAUGGCAUAAGCCAGCUUGACUGCGAGCGUGACGGCGCGAGCAGGUGCGAAAGCAGGUCAUAGUGAUCCGGUGGUUCUGAAUGGAAGGGCCAUCGCUCAACGGAUAAAAGGUACUCCGGGGAUAACAGGCUGAUACCGCCCAAGAGUUCAUAUCGACGGCGGUGUUUGGCACCUCGAUGUCGGCUCAUCACAUCCUGGGGCUGAAGUAGGUCCCAAGGGUAUGGCUGUUCGCCAUUUAAAGUGGUACGCGAGCUGGGUUUAGAACGUCGUGAGACAGUUCGGUCCCUAUCUGCCGUGGGCGCUGGAGAACUGAGGGGGGCUGCUCCUAGUACGAGAGGACCGGAGUGGACGCAUCACUGGUGUUCGGGUUGUCAUGCCAAUGGCACUGCCCGGUAGCUAAAUGCGGAAGAGAUAAGUGCUGAAAGCAUCUAAGCACGAAACUUGCCCCGAGAUGAGUUCU